RNAcentral lists this unclassified non-coding RNA (2556 nucleotides) under Hevea brasiliensis (rubber tree). The record is from RNAcentral. Lineage: Eukaryota; Viridiplantae; Streptophyta; Magnoliopsida; Malpighiales; Euphorbiaceae.
AAAUUCCACAUCUUUAUUAUGAAAUGAAACAGGAGCACUUGAGAAAGAAUGGAAUUUCAUUCCCAAAUCACAAACAGGAUUUGCUAUUUCAGUAUGAAGAUUCAACUUGCAUACUCCAAGCACCAACAGAUCCCAAAAGUUCAAAUUAAUGGAAUUAACACGUCCAAUCACACACCGGUUAUGACCAAAGGUGAGGGGAAAAUUAUCACACGAUAAUAAGAUACUGAUAUAAAUGCAUAGAUCAUGAAAUUGCAGAUGGAUUAUAACCAUCGUGAGUAAAAUUGUUACAGCAUUAUUGUUUUCUCAUGGAAAACUGGGAACCUGUAUGAAGGUACAUUAUUCUGGGACCUUGAAAAUUACACUUUUAGACAACUCACAGAUAUUGACUUGCUAUUUUGCCUUCCUUGACAAUGUAAUUCUGUAGAGGAAAUUCUUCUCCUUUGAAGUAUCUAUCAAGCAUGUCUUUCACUCCAGCUGCAUAUCGCAAUUGUGCAUCAAUGGUGGUUCCAGAAAUAUGAGGGGUCAUAGCUUGAUUUGGCAUAUAACGCCAUGGAUGGUCCUUUGGUGCUGGCUGUGGAUGCCAAACAUCCCCACUAUAACCUCCAAUACGUCCACUAGAGCAAGCAUCAACAACUGCCUGUGUAUCCAUGAUUGCUGCUCGAGCAUUAUUAACAAUGAGAACCCCUUUCUUCAUCUUUGCGAUCCUAUCUUUGUUAAACAAUGCCCUUGUCUUCUCUGUAAGAGGAGUGUUGAUGACAACUAUGUCACAUUUGGGAAGCAUUGCAUCGAGAUCCUCUUCAAAUUUUGCCCCAGUUUGAUUCUCCAAUUCAGGGUCCAUCUUAAGUCGAUCAUGAUAGAGGAGAUUACAAUUGAAAGGUUUCAACCGUUGGAGCAAAAGCCUACCAAUGCGUCCAGCACCAACAGUUCCCACUGUCUUUCCUUCAAGAUCAUAGGCUCUGUAAGCAAUACCUGCUACAUUCCACUCCCCAGUAAUAACUUGAUGAUAUCCAGGUAAGAAAUUCCGGACAAGAAUAAGAAUUCUCAUGAGCUCAUCUUCUGCAACUGAGACAACAUUGCUUCCUGUGACCUCUGCAACAGUUAACCCAGCCGCAGCUGCUGCCUUCAAAUCUAUAUGAUCAGACCCAAUUCCAGCUGUCAGAAGCAGUUGCAAGUUUUUGGCCCUUUUGAUCCUUUCUUCCGUAACAUAGGCAGGGUGGAAGGGUGUACUUAUGAGGACAUGGAGAUCAGAAAUAUGCUUUUCAAGUUCACAGUUUGGUCCUUCUUUGUCAUCAGUGACAAUGUAUUGGUGACCUUGUGAUUCCAACCACUCACGUAUGCCUAAAGCUCCCUCCGCAGACCCCAAAAAAUUGGGAUUCAUUGCAGCAUACUCAUUGGCCUUGUAGAAAACACCCACAAUCUUUUUGCUCCCCGCAGAGGCCUAGGUGCACGCAAGCCAUUACAGGAAAAUAAUUGAACAUUCAUGGCAAAACAAAGAUUCAUUAAUCCACCCUUUUGGUUUUGUUUCUUUCUAUGUUUAUCUAUUUUUAUUAUUUGAGCAUUUUCACACCAUAAAAUUAGAAUAAAUUCUUGUUUAGAUCACGAUAGACUUAAGACAGCACAAGAUUUUGAUAUCUGUAGAUAGAAAUCCCUGUAGAAGUCAGCUCUUACCGUUUAGUUCUAAAAUCGCAAUCUUAACUAGUUUUACCAUUGUAUUAACCUCAAAUUUUUUAGGACUAAAACAGAGAAGUUAUUCGGUGUAACCGUAUAUACUUCGAUCCUCCAACGCCGUCGACGAAAAAUUAGGUGGGGGCCACAAGACAAAGGAGCUGGAUAAGGAGUCAGAACGGAGUGGCAUACCAUAUAUGCGCGGUGCACCGCCACGUUAGAAUUCCUUGUACUUUGGCAGACGUUAGCCCACUUAAACGUCGUCGUUUAUCAGUGUUUUGUGAUUCAAACUCUCUGCUUGUAGUCACUUUGACAAUCUAAAACAAGUUAAUUUUGUUAACUUGGGAACUUUAAGUUAUUAAGUGAAAUUAUUCCGACCAAACAACCCCUCACCGAUCAGUUUUUUAACAGUACAAGACUGAAUCUAGACCGUUGAAUUGCCGGAAAUAAAUUUCCACAAAAUUUUGACCAUCCCACAUCAACAGAGUUCUACGAUAAGCGCGAAGGAAGCUAAUUACAUUGCUGAAUGCUGAUCAGUGAUCAGAGGGAUAGCCAUGAGAAGAUAGUGGUUUUUUUGUUCAGCACAUAAUCUUCGAAAUAAAUUAAACUUUAUCAAAAAAAUAAUAAAAAAAGGAUUGGUUUGCUUACAUGCAAGUGUCUAGCGAUAGCUGGAGAGCCAGAAAUCCUAGAAGAUGAAGCGAAAGCGCGAAUUGCAGAGAUAGCAGCACUCCUCAUGGCCAAUUUUGAGCUGAAGAGUUACAAUUGAAGAAGAAACUGAGGCAAGAAAAUGAGAAAUGUGCUGUGAGUGAGGGUGCAGUGGAAAGCGUUUAUAUAAAGCCAGAGUUCAUGAUUUGGGCAACUUUUUCUUCUCCUUCUGUUUGUCCUCUUUCU